UCCGUUGUAGCGUAAUGGCUCCCAUUAUCGCCUCUCAUACGUAGUUUAUCAGCUCGGCGAUAGCUCAGGGUUCAAUUCCCUGUAACGGAA
This is a non-coding RNA of Paramarasmius palmivorus, 90 nucleotides long. The record is from the annotation of a GenBank genome assembly. NCBI's taxonomy places the organism in Eukaryota, Fungi, Basidiomycota, Agaricomycetes, Agaricales, Marasmiaceae.